UGGGGAAUAUUGCACAAUGGGCGCAAGCCUGAUGCAGCCAUGCCGCGUGUAUGAAGAAGGCCUUCGGGUUGUAAAGUACUUUCAGCGGGGAGGAAGGCGAUAAGGUUAAUAACCUUGUCGAUUGACGUUACCCGCAGAAGAAGCACCGGCUAACUCCGUGCCAGCAGCCGCGGUAAUACGGAGGGUGCAAGCGUGAAUCGGAAUUACUGGGCGUAAAGCGCACGCAGGCGGUCUGUCAAGUCGGAUGUGAAAUCCCGGGCUCAACCUGGGAACUGCAUUCGAAACUGGCAGGCUAGAGUCUUGUAGAGGGGGGUAGAAUUCCAGGUGUAGCGGUGAAAUGCGUAGAGAUCUGGAGGAAUACCGGUGGCGAAGGCGGCCCCCUGGACAAAGACUGACGCUCAGGUGCGAAAGCGUGGGGAGCAAACA
RNAcentral lists this ribosomal RNA (426 nucleotides) under uncultured bacterium. RNAcentral's name for it is "partial 16S ribosomal RNA". It matches the Rfam family "Bacterial small subunit ribosomal RNA", at positions 355 to 774 of the family's 1533-position model. The record is from RNAcentral.